AUUGAACGCUGGCGGCAGGCCUAACACAUGCAAGUCGAGCGGAGCGGCGGACGGGUGAGUAAUGCCUAGGAAUCUGCCUGGUAGUGGGGGAUAACGUCCGGAAACGGGCGCUAAUACCGCAUACUAUCAGAUGAGCCUAGGUCGGAUUAGCUAGUUGGUGGGGUAAAGGCCUACCAAGGCGACGAUCCGUAACUGGUCUGAGUGGAUGAUCAGUCAACCUGGAACUGGGACACGGGCCGGAAUCCUUCGGGAGGCAGGUGGGGGGAAUAUUGGGCAUUGGGCGAAAGCCUGAUCCAACCCUUCCGCGUGUGUGAAGAAGGUUUUCGGGUUUUAAAGCACUUUAAGUUGGGAGGCGUUACCGACAGAAUAAGCACCGGCUAACUUCGUGCCAGCAGCCGCGGUAAUAC
Molecule: ribosomal RNA, 407 nt
Filed under: uncultured bacterium
Lineage: Bacteria
Description: partial 16S ribosomal RNA
Rfam family: Bacterial small subunit ribosomal RNA
Source: RNAcentral